RNAcentral lists this ribosomal RNA (465 nucleotides) under uncultured bacterium. RNAcentral describes it as "partial 16S ribosomal RNA". It matches the Rfam family "Bacterial small subunit ribosomal RNA", at positions 338 to 795 of the family's 1533-position model. The record is from RNAcentral.
CCUACGGGUGGCAGCAGUAGGGAAUCUUCCACAAUGGGCGAAAGCCUGAUGGAGCAACGCCGCGUGGGUGAAGAAGGUCUUCGGAUCGUAAAACCCUGUUGUUAGAGAAGAACGUGCGUGAGAGUAACUGUUCACGUUUCGACGGUAUCUAACCAGAAAGCCACGGCUAACUACGUGCCAGCAGCCGCGGUAAUACGUAGGUGGCAAGCGUUAUCCGGAAUUAUUGGGCGUAAAGGGAACGCAGGCGGUCUUUUAAGUCUGAUGUGAAAGCCUUCGGCUUAACCGGAGUAGGGCAUUGGAAACUGGGAGACUUGAGUGCAGAAGAGGAGAGUGGAAUUCCAUGUGUAGCGGUGAAAUGCGUAGAUAUAUGGAAGAACACCAGUGGCGAAAGCGGCUUUCUGGUCUGUAACUGACGCUGAGGUUCGAAAGCGUGGGUAGCAAACAGGAUUAGAUACCCCGGUAGUC